RNA transcript from Helianthus annuus (common sunflower), 1472 nucleotides. It is a transcript of the gene named DEAD-box ATP-dependent RNA helicase 32-like, with no coding region annotated. The record is from RefSeq and is a predicted model, not a curated record. The transcript is spliced from 4 exons. NCBI's taxonomy places the organism in Eukaryota, Viridiplantae, Streptophyta, Magnoliopsida, Asterales, Asteraceae.
GGCUAAGAUACUAAAGGCCCGGUUGUUACUAGCUGCUAAGGAUUAUGUAGAGGCAAUUUCGGAAUCAUGCUGAAAAACAAUAAAAAAAUAGCUCUGGAUAAGGGAAAACUUGAAGAUGCGGUUAGCUAUGGAACAAACAGUAAUUUAUAUCUUCCUGCUUAUGCUUUUGAAGGUUUGGGUGCAAGUUUAAAUGAGAGUGACAGUGUCCAUAUGGUAGUUUUCAGUGUGGUUUAGUUGUGUUGUUUAAUGUCCGUGUUCAUCAAAAUGGGAAACAUCCAGCAUUAUACAACCCCCACGAAUAAUAGUGGGUGGAGUCGUCCACGAGUGGAAAGGGUUAUGUCUUGACCCUUCAUUGAUUCAACUAUAAUUUUUUUACUUUCAACAUUGUACAGCUACUGUCAAAAUUUCCCACGUAUUUUGUUGGAGUACAUUCAAGAUAAUACAUGCAUGAAUGUGAAUUAGCUGAACAUGUCGUAGGUUUGAUGUGCCACCUUGCCUCAUGCCAGUUCAGGUGGAGGAUUGCGGAUUGCCCUGAUGAUGCAGCAAGUUACAUACAUAGAGGUUGCAGCACAGCCCGUUAUGAUUCUGUACAGCGGCCGGUCUUAUUUCUCUUGCAUACAGAGAUGAAAAUGCUUGAAAGAUUACAAGAGAAAAAGAUACCUGUUCAAUUUGACAAGUGUUGCAAUUUUAAUUUACAGCAGCCAAAGACAAAACGAAUGCAAUCUUGUCCUGGCAUGUUAGCUGCUCUGCUAGCAAAGUACACAGACUUGUAGCGUUUCGCUCAACGGGCCUUCAAUAUAUGAAGAUGUCAUUUUGACAAUAACAGAUGGAUUUGAUUGAUUCUUUUUGGUCUCUGCUAUUAACCUUAAAUGUUUUCUCACUGCUAGCAGUGAUAGUAAUGAGGUAAUGUCCUUUUUACCCUUUGCCACUCUAUUAAUAUUUAAAUAAAACACAACUUAUUUCAGUUCUUAAGAAGAUAGCAUGGUUUUGCAGUUAUAUCAUACAUAGAUACGUUUAUGUGCAUUUAUACCAUAUUUAUUACACAAGUGUGUCAUCCUUUAUUGUUUAGGAUUGUUGUUGCCGCAAAAGAGAUCAAUGUGGGAAUUCUCAGUCGAUCAGACUAUAAAUAAAACAUUGGAAGCUAAUAUUCCUUCGAUUAAUCAUUUGAAUCUGAUCUUUUCUACUUUAUCGUUUAGGCUUGUGUAUUGAUUAUUUUCCCGUUUUCCCUUUGCUCAAAUGGCUUUUCUUUUGUUGUGUUUUUCAGGUGAGUUAAAGAGUCGAUGUCAAGAAGGCAAAACCAUAGGCAGGCGGUGUUGAAUAUCAACUACAAAUAUUGUAAUUAUACAUGUAGUGGCCGUAAUAUUUUGUAAUAGUUACCAAAUUCCUAACGUGUGCGCGACAUGAAAAGUUUACAACUCUUCUUGUAGCGAAGACCUUUAAUAUCAUACUGCUUUUUGUAUGAUUUUACCGAA